GUAGUCCGCACCGUAAACGUUGUAUACUAGUUGUUGGCGGUUUCAACGCCGUCAGUGACGACGCUAACGCAUUAAGUAUACCGCCUGGGGGGUAUGCUCGCAAGGGUGAAACUCAAAGAAAUUGACGGGGGCCCGCACAAGCGGUGGAGCAUGUGGUUUAAUUCGACGAUACGCGAGAAACCUUACCUGGGUUUGACAUGGAUUUGACUGGGAUAGAGAUAUUCCUUCCCGCAAGGGCAGAUUCACAGGUGUUGCAUGGUCGUCGUCAGCUCGUGUUGUGAGAUGUUGGGUUAAGUCCCGCAACGAGCGCAACCCCUAUCUUCUGUUGCCAAUAUUAAGUUAGGCACUCUGAAGAAACCGCCGGUGACAAACCGGAGGAAGGUGGGGAUGACGUCAGAUCAGCAUGGCCCUUAUAUCCAGGGCUACACACGUGCUACAAUGGCCAGUACAGAGGGACGCAAAGCCGCGAGGUGGAGCAAAUCCCACAAAGCUGGUCUCAGUUCAGAUUGCAGUCUGCAACUCGACUGCAUGAAGUCGGAAUCGCUAGUAAUCGCAAAUCAGCAUGUUGCGGUGAAUACGUUCCCGGGCCUUGUACACACCGCCCGUCACACCACCCGAGUUGGAGGUACCCGAAGAGGCUGUUGCCAACCGCAAGGAGGCAGGUCGCUAAGGUAAAUUCGGCGAGGGGGGUG
This 692-nucleotide ribosomal RNA is filed under the name uncultured bacterium. RNAcentral describes it as "bacterial SSU rRNA". It matches the Rfam family "Bacterial small subunit ribosomal RNA", at positions 790 to 1482 of the family's 1533-position model. The record is from RNAcentral.